GAAUAUUGCACAAUGGGCGGAAGCCUGAUGCAGCGACGCCGCGUGGGGGAUGAAGGUCUUCGGAUUGUAAACUCCUUUCAGUAGGGACGAAGCGAAAGUGACGGUACCUGCAGAAGAAGCACCGGCCAACUACGUGCCAGCAGCCGCGGUAAUACGUAGGGUGCAUGCGUUGUCCGGAAUUACUGGGCGUAAAGAGCUCGGAGGCGGUUUGUCGCGUCGUCUGUGAAAUCCUCCAGCGUAACUGGGGGCGUGCAGGCGAUACGGGCAGACUUGAGUACUACAGGGGAGACUGGAAUUCCUGGUGUAGCGGUGAAAUGCGCAGAUAUCAGGAGGAACACCGGUGGCGAAGGCGGGUCUCUGGGUAGUAACUGACGCUGAGGAGCGAAAGCAUGGGUAGCGAAC
This 402-nucleotide ribosomal RNA is filed under the name uncultured bacterium. RNAcentral's name for it is "bacterial SSU rRNA". It matches the Rfam family "Bacterial small subunit ribosomal RNA", at positions 359 to 773 of the family's 1533-position model. The record is from RNAcentral.